Molecule: non-coding RNA, 45 nt
Filed under: Echinostoma caproni
Lineage: Eukaryota; Metazoa; Platyhelminthes; Trematoda; Plagiorchiida; Echinostomatidae
Source: RNAcentral
GCACUGCUGACGAGUCCUAAACAGAAGGGAACAACUGUCCAGUGC